Molecule: long non-coding RNA, 245 nt
Filed under: Mytilus galloprovincialis (Mediterranean mussel)
Lineage: Eukaryota; Metazoa; Mollusca; Bivalvia; Mytilida; Mytilidae
Source: RNAcentral
GCUUUCAGUUUCCCGGUUGUAAAAUAUCAUUUUAUUGAUAACAGCAUUGCUUUAGGGUUUACCUAUCACAAUUGAUAGAUUUCAGGAUUAUGUUUACAAUGUUUGGACUUCAAUAACAUGUGUGUCCGCAUAACGGAAACGUUAUUCCUGCCAAAAAAUGCCAAUUGGUUAACUGAUACGACGUGUUUGUCUUAAAUCACGAGAUACUUGUUUCGUCGUCUUUAAUGUUUUUAGAUUGUUUUUCG